RNAcentral lists this unclassified non-coding RNA (338 nucleotides) under Cercozoa sp. RNAcentral's name for it is "partial contains small subunit ribosomal RNA, internal transcribed spacer 1, and 5.8S ribosomal RNA". The stretch from base 1 to 47 matches the Rfam family "Eukaryotic small subunit ribosomal RNA", at positions 1785 to 1831 of the family's 1831-position model. Lineage: Eukaryota; Cercozoa. The record is from RNAcentral.
AAAGUCGUAACAAGGUUUCCGUAGGUGAACCUGCGGAAGGAUCAUUAACACGUAUCCACGUAUCAAAAACCCCCUGUGCAAACCCUCUUUGUGAAGGCUGAUUGGAGUUGUGCUCACUCGAUCUUAAUGAUGGGAGUCUUCGGACUCGGGAUCUAUGAGUGGGACGCAGCGUUCGACAACCAGCCGCUAUUUUCCCAUCGUUAGCCCUACUAUUAUUAAACCCCUUUGUACUUUUUUUGUACUGAACCAAUUCUUCGAGUUUCGGCCUUCUCGGGCUGAGAUACGAAAGAUAUUACGAAACUAAAGAACAACUCUUAGCAACGGAUAUCUUGGUUCCC